AGCCGUUCGGGUGGCUAUAAAUAGACCUUAGGCCCGAAGCGUGGCGGCACCUGCCGCCGGUGGUA
Molecule: ribozyme, 65 nt
Filed under: Alistipes sp. CHKCI003
Lineage: Bacteria; Pseudomonadati; Bacteroidota; Bacteroidia; Bacteroidales; Rikenellaceae
Description: Pistol ribozyme
Rfam family: Pistol ribozyme
Source: Rfam by way of RNAcentral